GCACAGGAUGGACCCGCGUCUGAUUAGCUAGUUGGUAAGGUAACGGCUUACCAAGGCGACGAUCAGUAGCCGACCUGAGAGGGUGAUCGGCCACAUUGGAACUGAGACACGGUCCAAACUCCUACGGGAGGCAGCAGUGGGGAAUAUUGCACAAUGGGGGAAACCCUGAUGCAGCGACGCCGCGUGAAGGAAGAAGUAUUUCGGUAUGUAAACUUCUAUCAGCAGGGAAGAAGAUGACGGUACCUGACUAAGAAGCCCGGCUAACUAC
This 268-nucleotide ribosomal RNA is filed under the name uncultured bacterium. RNAcentral describes it as "partial 16S ribosomal RNA". It matches the Rfam family "Bacterial small subunit ribosomal RNA", at positions 218 to 504 of the family's 1533-position model. The record is from RNAcentral.